This 501-nucleotide ribosomal RNA is filed under the name uncultured bacterium. RNAcentral's name for it is "partial 16S ribosomal RNA". It matches the Rfam family "Bacterial small subunit ribosomal RNA", at positions 29 to 507 of the family's 1533-position model. The record is from RNAcentral.
ACGAACGCUGGCGGCGUGCCUAAUACCUGCAAGUCGAACGAACCGCGACUGAGUGCUUGCACUUGGUCAAGGUGAGUGGCGAACGGGUGAGUAACACGUGGGUAACCUACCUCAUAGUGGGGGAUAACAGUCGGAAACGACUGCUAAUACCGCAUAGGACAUGGAAUCACAUGAUUCUGUGAGGAAAGGUGGCGCAAGCUAUCGCUAAGAGAUGGACCCGCGGUGCAUUAGCUAGUUGGUAGGGUAAGGGCCUACCAAGGCGAUGAUGCAUAGCCGACCUGAGAGGGUGAUCGGCCACAUUGGGACUGAGACACGGCCCAAACUCCUACGGGAGGCAGCAGUAGGGAAUCUUCCGCAAUGGACGCAAGUCUGACGGAGCAGCGCCGCGUGAGUGAAGAAGGUCUUCGGAUCGUAAAGCUCUGUUGUUAGAGAAGAACAGCGCAUAGAGUAACUGUUAUGCGUGUGACGGUAUCUAACCAGAAAGCCACGGCUAACUACGUG